GAUGAACGCUGGCGGCGUGCUUAACACAUGCAAGUCGAACGAAGCACUUUAUUUGAUUUCCUUCGGGACUGAUUAUUUUGUGACUGAGUGGCGGACGGGUGAGUAACGCGUGGGUAACCUGCCUUGUACAGGGGGAUAACAGUUGGAAACGGCUGCUAAUACCGCAUAAGCGCACAGCAUCGCAUGAUGCAGUGUGAAAAACUCCGGUGGUAUAAGAUGGACCCGCGUUGGAUUAGCUAGUUGGUGAGGUAACGGCCCACCAAGGCGAGGAUCCAUAGCCGACCUGAGAGGGUGACCGGCCACAUUGGGACUGAGACACGGCCCAAACUCCUACGGGAGGCAGCAGUGGGGAAUAUUGCACAAUGGGCGAAAGCCUGAUGCAGCGACGCCGCGUGAGCGAAGAAGUAUUUCGGUAUGUAAAGCUCUAUCAGCAGGGAAGAUAAUGACGGUACCUGACUAAGAAGCACCGGCUAAAUACGUG
Molecule: ribosomal RNA, 481 nt
Filed under: uncultured bacterium
Lineage: Bacteria
Description: partial 16S ribosomal RNA
Rfam family: Bacterial small subunit ribosomal RNA
Source: RNAcentral